Molecule: ribosomal RNA, 503 nt
Filed under: Paractinoplanes cibodasensis
Lineage: Bacteria; Bacillati; Actinomycetota; Actinomycetes; Micromonosporales; Micromonosporaceae
Description: bacterial SSU rRNA
Rfam family: Bacterial small subunit ribosomal RNA
Source: RNAcentral
GCAGCGACGCCGCGUGAGGGAUGACGGCCUUCGGGUUGUAAACCUCUUUCAGCAGGGACGAAGCGAGAGUGACGGUACCUGCAGAAGAAGCGCCGGCCAACUACGUGCCAGCAGCCGCGGUAAGACGUAGGGCGCGAGCGUUGUCCGGAUUUAUUGGGCGUAAAGAGCUCGUAGGCGGCUUGUCGCGUCGUUCGUGAAAACCUGCAGCUCAACUGCAGGCUUGCGGGCGAUACGGGCAGGCUAGAGUUCGGUAGGGGAGACUGGAAUUCCUGGUGUAGCGGUGAAAUGCGCAGAUAUCAGGAGGAACACCGGUGGCGAAGGCGGGUCUCUGGGCCGAUACUGACGCUGAGAGCGAAAGCGUGGGGAGCGAACAGGAUUAGAUACCCUGGUAGUCCACGCUGUAAACGUUGGGCGCUAGGGGUGGGGGGCCUCUCCGGUUCUCUGUGCCGCAGCUAACGCAUUAAGCGCCCCGCCUGGGGAGUACGGCCCAAGGCUAAAACUCA